UGGGAACGUGCCCAAAGGUACGGAACAACUCCGGGAAACUGGAGCUAAUACCGUAUGUGCCCGAAAGGGGAAAGAUUCAUCGCCUUUGGAUCGGCCCGCGUCUGAUUAGCUAGUUGGCGGGGUAAUGGCCCACCAAGGCGACGAUCAGUAGCUGGUCUGAGAGGAUGACCAGCCACACUGGGACUGAGACACGGCCCAGACUCCUACGGGGAGGCAG
This 217-nucleotide ribosomal RNA is filed under the name uncultured bacterium. Its description in RNAcentral is "partial 16S ribosomal RNA". It matches the Rfam family "Bacterial small subunit ribosomal RNA", at positions 118 to 351 of the family's 1533-position model. The record is from RNAcentral.